This 382-nucleotide ribosomal RNA is filed under the name uncultured eukaryote. RNAcentral's name for it is "partial 18S ribosomal RNA". It matches the Rfam family "Eukaryotic small subunit ribosomal RNA", at positions 592 to 975 of the family's 1831-position model. The record is from RNAcentral.
CAAUAGCGUAUAUUAAAGUUGUUGCAGUUAAAAAGCUCGUAGUUGGAUUUCUGGUGGGAGCGAUCGGUCUGGCGCUUAGCGCGAGUACUUGCAUCGUCUCCGGCCAUCCUUGGGGAGAGUCUGUCUGGCAUUAAGUUGUCGGGCAGAGGAUCCUCAUCGUUUACUGUGAAAAAAUUAGAGUGUUCAAAGCAGGCUUAUGCUGUUGAAUAUAUUAGCAUGGAAUAAUAAGAUAGGACUUUGGUACUAUUUUGUUGGUUUGCGCACCAAAGUAAUGAUUAAUAGGGACAGUUGGGGGUAUUCGUAUUCCGUUGUCAGAGGUGAAAUUCUUGGAUUUACGGAAGACGAACUACUGCGAAAGCAUUUACCAAGGAUGUUUUCAUUA